UAUAUUUUCUGGAAUAACACUCUCUUUCCUACAGGGCUAAAGCCACUAUGCACUGUCAAUAUAUUCUACAGUUAUCUCUGUUAACUCUACUCUCCCUGCCAGGCACACUGGCACAGACCUGGUCUGUCUGGUACCGUGACAGGGACAGGAUUACUGUUAUCUGUGCAUCAAAAGGCUCAUCAGUGGUAUUUGACUGUAUAUACAGCUACCCAGCUACCCAGAUAGUUAGAAGAAAGAUAUGGUUCACUCCGAGAGGCGAUACAAAACAAGAUGGCUCACAGCAAGGAGAUGGAGUGUUUAACACAUCUGGACUGACUAAUAAAUCAAGAUACAGUGGAAGAACAGAGUUUUAUGACCAAGACAAUAACUGCACACUGAAACUCAACAAUGUGACUGAAGAUGACAGUGGCAGAUUCUUCUUCAGAUUUGAGGCAAAUACAAGUAAUCAGCCCCCUCAGGGAUUUACAGGAUCGUGGGGUGUGGACCUGACAAUACCAGUCUUAUCCCUAAAGUUAAAUGAAAAUGGCCCCGUUAAGGAGCGAGACCACGUCACCUUGGCCUGCACCUCCACCUGUAACCCUCCUUAAAUGGAGUUCCUCUGGUUUAAA
This is a long non-coding RNA of Oncorhynchus mykiss (rainbow trout), 608 nucleotides long. RefSeq lists it as uncharacterized. Lineage: Eukaryota; Metazoa; Chordata; Actinopteri; Salmoniformes; Salmonidae. The record is from RefSeq and is a predicted model, not a curated record.